GAUGAACGCUGGCGGCGUGCCUAACACAUGCAAGUCGAGCGAUUUUCUUCGGAGAAGAGCGGCGGACGGGUGAGUAACGCGUGGGUAACCUGCCCUGUACACACGGAUAACAUACCGAAAGGUAUGCUAAUACGAGAUAAUAUGCUUUUAUCGCAUGGUAGAAGUAUCAAAGCUCCGGCGGUACAGGAUGGACCCGCGUCUGAUUAGCUAGUUGGUGAGGUAACGGCUCACCAAGGCGACGAUCAGUAGCCGACCUGAGAGGGUGAUCGGCCACAUUGGAACUGAGACACGGUCCAAACUCCUACGGGAGGCAGCAGUGGGGAAUAUUGCACAAUGGGCGAAAGCCUGAUGCAGCAACGCCGCGUGAGCGAUGAAGGCCUUCGGGUCGUAAAGCUCUGUCCUCAAGGAAGAUAAUGACGGUACUUGAGGAGGAAGCCCCGGCUAACUAC
Molecule: ribosomal RNA, 449 nt
Filed under: uncultured bacterium
Lineage: Bacteria
Description: bacterial SSU rRNA
Rfam family: Bacterial small subunit ribosomal RNA
Source: RNAcentral